UCCAUCGGUAGCUUGCUAUCCAUGGUGAGAGUGGCGCACGGGUGCGUAACGCGUGAGCAACCUGCCUCCAUCAGGGGGAUAGCCUCUCGAAAGAGAGAUUAACACCGCAUAACAUAUUUUACCGGCAUCGGACGAAUAUUAAAUAUUUAUAGGAUGGAGAUGGGCUCGCGUGACAUUAGCUUGUUGGUGGGGUAACGGCCCACCAAGGCGACGAUGUCUAGGGGCUCUGAGAGGAGAAUCCCCCACACUGGUACUGAGACACGGACCAGACUCAUACGGGAGGCAGCAGUAAGGAAUAUUGGUCAAUGGGCGGAAGCCUGAACCAGCCAUGCCGCGUGCAGGAUGACUGCCCUAUGGGUUGUAAACUGCUUUUGUCCGGGAAUAAACCUCCUUACGAGUAGGGAGCUGAAUGUACCGGAAGAAUAAGGAUCGGCUAACUCCGUGCCAGCAGCCGCGGUAAUACGGAGGAUCCGAGCGUUAUCCGGAUUUAUUGGGUUUAAAGGGUGCGUAGGCGGCCUGUUAAGUCAGGGGUGAAAUACGGUGGCUCAACCAUCGCAGUGCCUUUGAUACUGACGGGCUUGAAUCCAUAUGAAGUGGGCGGAAUAAGACAAGUAGCGGUGAAAUGCAUAGAUAUGUCUUAGAACUCCGAUUGCGAAGGCAGCUCACUAAGCUGGUAUUGACGCUGAUGCACGAAAGCGUGGGGAUCGAACAGGAUUAGAUACCCUGGUAGUCCACGCCCUAAACGAUGAUAACUCGAUGUUGGCGAUAGACAGCCAGCGUCCCAGCGAAAG
RNAcentral lists this ribosomal RNA (791 nucleotides) under bacterium. Its description in RNAcentral is "bacterial SSU rRNA". It matches the Rfam family "Bacterial small subunit ribosomal RNA", at positions 68 to 857 of the family's 1533-position model. The record is from RNAcentral.